CAGGACUUUUGAGCUGCACAAAGAAUACAUUUUUUCAAAGUAUGUUUGAUUAAAAAUAAAAAUUUUAAAUGCAGACAUAGCACCCACCUCCUCCUAGAUUUGCCUGUUGUUCAGUUUUAAUGCAUAAGCUGCCAGCAACUCAAAAGAAGGGUUUAUAUAUACACAGCUUAAUCACUGUUGUAAUCUUACACAACAUUACAACAGCCAUUAAAAUGUUCUUUUGCAAACAGUGUUAUGGUAACUUGCUAAAAUGCCAGUUUGUCUUGUACCAUCAGCAAUAAGAGGUACAUAAAAACACCCAAGAAGUUGUGACAAGUGUGGGUCUGACAAUUAACAACAAUUGCAGAAAUUUAAUGAUUGUACCUGAGACUUAGAAUGCAGUGAGGUGCUUACCACAUCUCAAACAACCUGCAGUGCAGUGGUGUUUCUUGAAAAAAAAAAAAUCAUUCACCCUCCUCCUUGAAGUGCUUGUUCACUUUUCCUGAGGAGACAGAAAUAACAUCAGAACCACAUCUACCAGGGACUUUAGGUAGGCUGUAGCAACUAUUAGUGAUUUCUGCUGCAGUUGUAUGACAACAGAGCUCCUCAGUAUUUCCCCAGAGAAAAUCAUCUUCCAGGCUAAGAAUUGUGAGAACUCAGAAAAGGGGUAGAAUCCCUUAGGGACUGUAUAAAUCUUCCUUAUGUGCCUAGAGCACUGCUAAGGCACUGUACACGAGAACUGAACUAUGCCAAAACACACAACCAAUCCUUAGAGGUAUACUGACCCUUUUUCUGUCUAGAAACAUUGCUAGCCCUCACUGUUCAGACUGACAGUGCUUCACUACUUGGACUAGUCCUACAACAAUUAGUCCUUCAGAACAAAAAGAUAAAAACAAGGGAACUAGAUGGACGUACCAAGAUUUACUGCAGUAUUCCCAUUUCCUUCUUGGAAAAAAUCCAAAAAUGCCAAAAUGCCUCCUCAGCAGACAGAGCUGGGAUGGAAAAGGUUACAUCAGGUACAAAGUCAAAAAGACUUUUAUUUUCAGUGAUUGUAAGUUUAUGGACAAUUCUCUUUUUCCCCCCUCCUUUAGAAGAGAGGAGCUGUUCCUUCCCACAGCAAGGGAAAUGGCAGAGAAAGGAAAUCUACUCAAAUAAAUAGCUGUCAUUGUCCCCUGUCUCCAUGGGAAGGAGGACCUGCAAAUAGCUGUGACAAUCCCUUGUCCCCGUGGGAGGAAGAGCCUUGCAAGAUUUGCUAUCCAAAAUAAAGUCCCUGGAUCGGUAGGUAAGGGUCCCAAUGACUGUGCACUGUUGUUAAGUUUAACUUCACAUCACCAGGUUAUUACUGGAAUUUUCAAAGUAAAAACUACAUUACACAUCACAGUGUUUUAAGGAAACAAAAUACAAGGUGCUUUAGUCAAAUGUUAUAUACAGAUUUUACAAAGGAAAGAAAACUUUGCUUAAAAAUUUAACUUUUACUAUUGUUUUAAGUAAGUGGAUAAAUACCUAUUGGUAAAAAAAUACAUGAGUGAAGAAGAAAUUCUCACCCAAGAUUCAACAUCAUGCUACUCAUGGUACACAUUAAGGUUUAUAGUGUAAACACUAGGAAAAAUUCACUUGCUUUGACAACUGCAGAGCAAAAUGAUUUUCUAAGGGACAUAACUCCUCAGAUUGAAGUUAAUUUUAUCCUAAUUAAUUAUACUUUGUUACCAAUUUAAAUCCUGCCCUAGAACAUUGAGUUUACUACGCUGCCUUGAAUGUAUGUGAUGGACAUUAGUAAUUUAUUAGGCUUUUUCAUUAUUUUUGAGGUGUUGUUAAUUACUAUACAUACAGAUUUUUCCUUCUGCUAUUACAAUGUCUGUGUGUGGCACUGCUUGUGUACCAUCCCAUUCUACUCUCAGCUUUAUACUGGAAUAUUUGCAUUUAUGGAAAAUUUGACCCUUUUUACUACAUUUCUGAGACCUGCAAGAGAAUUUUUCUGUCAGCUCCAAUCUGUUACAAGAAUAAAAUUUGCUGUGGCCAACACUGUAUUUAUUUAAAAAUUAUCUGAUGAUACCAAAAUCUUAGUACACAAAAGGCAUGUGGCUAUACUGUGGUAGGGAACAGCAGCUCUGAAGGGACUGCAAUACAUUCAAACAUUUGGGACAGAACAGAUUCCAUUACCAGCAAGGCCACUGUACUUGGUCCCCACUCCAUAUUUUGUAUACACUGAAUCUGCUCAGAAAGAUCACAGAGAAGGCAAAGAGAGAGAACAAUCAGGGUCUGCACCUCUAUUCCCACGGAGCUGUUUGGAAAACCUCUAUUCUUGGAAGUAGCAAAAUAAAAACCAAGCAUAUCCCUGAGUGAUGCCAAAUACCCACCAACAUAACUAAACUGAUAAUAGUUUGGCAUUUUGAAGUAAAAGUUAGUUAGCAAGACUGCUAAAAGUCAGCUCUUUAGUAUUUAUGUUUCACUAUUUCAAGGGGAGAAAAAAAAAAAAGAAAAUCAACAGCACACAUACCGAGGUGUUCAGACUUAGAAUCUCCAUAUUGUCCUUCACAAAUGUGGUGAGAUCAAGUAAUACCUACUUUCUUUUAAAAAUAACACAAGUAAAAUUCAAGUAUAUUGAAAGCACAUCAAGAAACAAACUGUACAAUUUCUGAACUGCACUGUUUAUUUUGCUGCUUGAAACCUAAGUGACAGUAUGCCACUAUAAUUAUGGGGUUUCUUCUAAACCUUUACUACACUGCAGGUACAGAAAUAUAUGGACACAUUUUUGGAGAAUUGACAUUUUGCAAAAUGCAGCAAACAUUUCAAUUUAUACAU
Long non-coding RNA from Oenanthe melanoleuca, 2781 nucleotides. RefSeq lists it as uncharacterized. The transcript has 2 exons. Lineage: Eukaryota; Metazoa; Chordata; Aves; Passeriformes; Muscicapidae. The record is from RefSeq and is a predicted model, not a curated record.